Gossypium hirsutum (cotton) is the source of this 87-nucleotide non-coding RNA. The record is from Rfam. Lineage: Eukaryota; Viridiplantae; Streptophyta; Magnoliopsida; Malvales; Malvaceae.
CUCGUCAGUGCGCUAUGCUGACGUGAACACAAAUUGUGUUCUUAAGGCCGCAUUUUGUUGCCACGUAAGCAAAGCGCGCUGACGUGG